AUGCUGCUUGCAGGACUGAUCGGCGGGCGACCAAGCCCGGCCGGGCGGCCAACGGAAGGAGCAAAGCAGAAGGAAUUAAGCGCUGUCGAUCUUGAGGGUCUCGACGAACCUCCGGUACGCCUUGACGUUGGUGGGCAGGAAGUCGAGGAAGUCAUGGAAGCUGCUCUCCCUGUACAUCCUCGGGUGGCGCUCGUCGACGAGCUCCUCGGCGCACCCGACCUUCUCGUCCAUGGCCGCGCCGUGGAUGCUGGCGAUGGAGAUCCUCGCCUCGUCGGUGUUGAGGAUGGCCCGGUGCAGGAGGGACCUGAGCCGCCCGUUGCUCAGCACCUCCAGGUGGUCGCCGAGGUCGACGUGGAGCGCCCCCGGGAUGGCCGGGACGGGCGUCCAGACGCCGCCGUCGUCGUGGUGCGUCACCUCGAGCCCCGGCGAGCUCUGCAGCAGGAUGGUGAUGAAGCCAAUGUCGGAGUGCGGCGCCAGCCCGACCGUGUCGCCCGCCCGGGACGACCCCUGCGGGUAGUUGUUGAGCCCCAUGAACUGCAUCCCUGCUCCGAGCUUCUCCUGCAGGUGCAUUGGGCAUAG
RNAcentral lists this ribosomal RNA (579 nucleotides) under Triticum aestivum (bread wheat). RNAcentral's name for it is "partial small subunit ribosomal RNA". Lineage: Eukaryota; Viridiplantae; Streptophyta; Magnoliopsida; Poales; Poaceae. The record is from RNAcentral.